This is a long non-coding RNA of Engraulis encrasicolus (European anchovy), 893 nucleotides long. RefSeq lists it as uncharacterized. The transcript is spliced from 3 exons. The record is from RefSeq and is a predicted model, not a curated record. Lineage: Eukaryota; Metazoa; Chordata; Actinopteri; Clupeiformes; Engraulidae.
CUGCAUGUUUUAAGGGAAAGAAAAUGAUCUAGACUUUACAUGUGCAAUUUCCAUUUUAACCAUCUCAAAUAACCCUGAGGUUCUCAUCGUCAAACUAGAGAAAACAUCAGUAAGGUUCAGGCUGUCUUUUACAGAUAAGGUACUUUAUUCACUGUAUUACUAAGCACUUUAUUCAUCCUGUGGGAAAUUCAAGAAACAAUUGUCCACUGUUUGUAACAGUAUUUUUUAGCCAAUUUGGAUUGGAGCCAAUUUUGGUCCCCUAGGGGAAAUUCUUUCUCUGCAUUUAUCCCAUUUCGGCUAGUGAAUCACAUUGAAAUUUCUUAGCAUAACAAUAUGUGAUUGUGUUAUCAUUUUUUUUUUUCAUCAGGCAUGAGUGAGGCGAACACAUCGUGCGUUGGAGGAAGAGUUGCAGUGACGACUUGGACCACAGGCCAGAAGCCUGAAAUAGAUUCUUUGAGAAUCUUAAAAGUCAAACAACUGGGCCUUGCGGGGAAGACUGAUGACGUGAGAAAAAAAGGAAAAAUUUGAUGAGCAGACGUGAGCGGCAGUGGUGCUGGUGGCGCAGGAUGUCCUGGAGGAGGACGACCUCGACUACCUCAAAGGAGCUGAUGCUAGCCUUGUGCCUGAUGGGGAAACAAGUGCACAUUUGUUGUGCUCUGUCUGAGAUGGAGAAGUGUGCGCCUUGCUGGCGUACUUCAAUUGAUGCCAGCAAGCCCAGCCAGCGAGUGACCGAUAGUGGCCGGUUCUCCCUUCGUGACCCCCCCAUCCCCCCCCCUUCUGCGGCCGACAAAGCUUGAAAUAUGAUUAAAUGUAAAUGUAAAAUAAGCAAUUAAAGAAAGAACAUUCAAAACAACAAAAUAAUUGUCUGUUAUAAUAUGAUUUUAGCUGGGAUU